GACGAACGCUGGCGGCGUGCUUAACACAUGCAAGUCGAACGGUGAAGCGCCUUCCUUUUUGGUGGGUGUGGAUGAGCGGCGACCGGGUGAGUAACACGUGAGCAACCUGCCCCCUUUUCCAGGAUUACCGCAUGAAAGCGUGGCUAAUACGGGAUAUUCUGGUCCUGUCGCACGAUGGGCCUGGGCCAGAUACUGUGUCGGUGGGCGACGGGCUCGCGGCCUUUCAGCUUGCUGGUGGGGUGAUGGCCUACCAAGGCGGUGACGAGUAGCCGUCCUGAGAGGGUAGACGGUCACACUAGGACUGAGACACGGCGACGACUCCUACGGGGGGCAGCAGGGGGGAGUAUUGCACGAUGGGCGAUAGCCUGAUGCAGCGACGCAGCGUGAGGGAUGGGGGCCUUCGGGUUGUAAACCCCUUUCGCCAGUGAAGCAGGCCUGCCUCGUAUGUGGGUGGGUUGACGGUAGCUGGAUAAGAAGCGGCCGCUAACUACGUG
This 494-nucleotide ribosomal RNA is filed under the name uncultured bacterium. RNAcentral's name for it is "partial 16S ribosomal RNA". It matches the Rfam family "Bacterial small subunit ribosomal RNA", at positions 28 to 507 of the family's 1533-position model. The record is from RNAcentral.